This is a long non-coding RNA of Brassica napus (rape), 1009 nucleotides long. RefSeq lists it as uncharacterized. The record is from RefSeq and is a predicted model, not a curated record. Lineage: Eukaryota; Viridiplantae; Streptophyta; Magnoliopsida; Brassicales; Brassicaceae. The transcript has 3 exons.
CUUGAGAAAAAGCCAAAAAAAAUAAAUCCAAAAUGCAUUUAAACAUUAGAACCGGUGUCAAACAUGGAGCUUUAAGAAUCAGUAAACACCCCUUACGUGACCAUCACCUAUUGGCUAUUCUUAAGACUAAAGGAAAAAAAAAUUCAUCUCUCUUUCGAUCUUCUUCCUUCUCUCUUUCGUCGGUUCUUCUUUCUAUCUUCUUCCUUUUCUCUUUGCAUGUUUUUUUCUACCAAACCGAUCAAUCACUGCUACCUCCUCCUCCAAAUCCGUCAAUGAAAUCACCGUGGAGGUUUAUGAACUUUGCAAAUCCACUUUCACUGGGAAAUCUCCUUCUCCUGCUUCCACGCCUGUCCAAAAACUUUGCUCUCUGUUGGAUUCACUGAGUCCUGGAGAUGUUGGGCUUGAAGGGGAAGCUCAAGACGAAGAAGAUCGAGGCUAUGGAGUUUUUGGGGUUAGCCCUGUCACCAGAGUAGGAAGAUGGGCUCAGCCGAUCACAUUCUUGGACAUUCAUGAAUGUGACACUUUUACAGUAAGUGUCUAUAAGAAAUUGAAAUUGAGAUGAGAUGAUAAAUUAGGAUUGUGACUGAUGCUUAUGGAACUUAAUGUUUUUGCUUUUGGUUUCUUUUUGUUAUGUAUGUCGAGUGUCUAUGGCGCAGUGAGCAGAGUACAUGACGAGUUGUUACAUGGUUGGUCUAUGGUCACUAUGGUGCUUAUUGUAUCUGAUCGUGUUUCUUCUUUAUUGACGGCACCAAGGACCACGACGACUGUUGGUUUAUACCACACCGCCUAUCAGAGAACACGACUGAGUUGGAGAUAAGGUGCAGAAGGGUCAAGUUGUUUGCAUUAUCGAAGCUAUGAAACUGAUGAACGAGAUUGAGGUCUGAUAUUUUUUUAUAACAGUGCAGUAGCUUACAAUCAAAAUUUGCGGAUUGUGAUGACAUUGUCAAUAUAUUUGGGAUAAUAUAUGUUUACGUAUUGCAUUUAAGUAAAAAAAACAAUUGAGAGUUUA